This 70-nucleotide transfer RNA is filed under the name Paraulopus oblongus. Its description in RNAcentral is "tRNA-Ser (UCN)". It matches the Rfam family "tRNA". Rfam says of the family: Transfer RNA (tRNA) molecules are approximately 80 nucleotides in length. Their secondary structure includes four short double-helical elements and three loops (D, anti-codon, and T loops). Lineage: Eukaryota; Metazoa; Chordata; Actinopteri; Aulopiformes; Paraulopidae. The record is from RNAcentral.
AGGAAGUGGCAGAAGGAUAUGCGUCUGGCUUGAAACCAGGGGAUGAAGGUUCGAUUCCUUCCUUUCUCGA